Molecule: ribosomal RNA, 253 nt
Filed under: uncultured bacterium
Lineage: Bacteria
Description: partial 16S ribosomal RNA
Rfam family: Bacterial small subunit ribosomal RNA
Source: RNAcentral
CACGUAGGGCGCAAGCGUUGUCCGGAUUUAUUGGGCGUAAAGAGCUCGUAGGCGGUUCGUCACGUCGGCUGUGAAAUCCCGAGGCUCAACCUCGGGUCUGCAGUCGAUACGGGCGGACUGGAGUACUGCAGGGGAGACUGGAAUUCCUGGUGUAGCGGUGAAAUGCGCAGAUAUCAGGAGGAACACCGGUGGCGAAGGCGGGUCUCUGGGCAGUAACUGACGCUGAGGAGCGAAAGCGUGGGGAGCGAACAGG